Molecule: long non-coding RNA, 765 nt
Filed under: Penaeus monodon (black tiger shrimp)
Lineage: Eukaryota; Metazoa; Arthropoda; Malacostraca; Decapoda; Penaeidae
Description: uncharacterized LOC119591454, transcript variant X2
Source: RNAcentral
CACGAGCAAACAUCGUCACUCUCCAAAAAAUGCACUGUAAUUCAUUGUUUCACUUUGCAUCACGCCAUACCAAAAUACAAAUCAAAUAUACAUCCUUAAAUGUGCCAAGUGUUAUUAUACAACAUAUUGAUACAUUUUGUUAUGAGAAAUACUCGUUACAUCCAUACUUCUCGCAUGUACAGCCAUCUACCGGGAAAAUAAACAGUGCUAGUGUUCUCUUGCUUGUUUCGGAAGUGAAGUUCGUUUACAGUGCUACUUGUGUUUCCGAUUUUCCCCCUAAUAUUCUGAUGAAAACGUACUCUUAUUCAGAUUUUUUUCUUUCUUUUUUUUUGUGAUCUAAAUUCAGUGAAGUGCAAUGCCCGUGUUGCAGCUGCAGAAGUCCGUCAGAGAUUCGUCACCUUCCCAACUUCUCUUCCCUUCCUAAGGUGAGUCCCGUCGAGCAGACCAGGUGCCAGCGACGCGGCUUGAGGAAAAUCAGAGUGAAAGUCAACCCGUCUUGGCAAGCCGGUAUACAAUAAACACCCACAGAAGGCUUGCAUCACCAACUCUCCUUCUCUCGACACGCAUCUUUGGGAGAGUAUAAAAUGAACUCUACAUUAGUGAAGUGUUCUUUUGAUUAAGACCCCGCGCCUUGUUUUUUAUUUUCUUAUUUGAACGUUUUAUUCUGGAGAAUUUAUUUAUCGCAUUAUCUCACGAGAGUGCUAAAGGGCCAGAAUGCGAAGAACUUGCUUUGUGUUCACUGUGUAUAAAAUAAUCUCUUCAUCA